This 496-nucleotide ribosomal RNA is filed under the name uncultured bacterium. RNAcentral describes it as "partial 16S ribosomal RNA". It matches the Rfam family "Bacterial small subunit ribosomal RNA", at positions 29 to 507 of the family's 1533-position model. The record is from RNAcentral.
AUGAACGCUGGCGGCGUGCCUAAUACCUGCAAGUCGAGCGAGCAGACGAGGAGCUUGCUCCUCUGACGUUAGCGGCGGACGGGUGAGUAACACGUGGAUAACCUACCUAUAAGACUGGGAUAACUUCGGGAAACCGGAGCUAAUACCGGAUAAUAUAUUGAACCGCAUGGUUCAAUAGUGAAAGACGGUUUUGCUGUCACUUAUAGAUGGAUCCGCGCCGCAUUAGCUAGUUGGUAAGGUAACGGCUUACCAAGGCAACGAUGCGUAGCCGACCUGAGAGGGUGAUCGGCCACACUGGAACUGAGACACGGUCCAGACUCCUACGGGAGGCAGCAGUAGGGAAUCUUCCGCAAUGGGCGAAAGCCUGACGGAGCAACGCCGCGUGAGUGAUGAAGGUCUUCGGAUCGUAAAACUCUGUUAUUAGGGAAGAACAAAUGUGUAAGUAACUAUGCACGUCUUGACGGUACCUAAUCAGAAAGCCACGGCUAACUACGUG